GACGGACCACACGAACGUUAUUCGGAAUUACUGGGCUUAAAGGGUGCGUAGGCUGUGCAGAAAGUUGGGUGUGAAAUCCCUCGGCUUAACCGAGGAAUUGCGCCCAAAACUACUGUGCUUGAGGAAGAUAGAGGUAAGCGGAACUUAGGGUGGAGCGGUGAAAUGCGUUGAUAUCCUAAGGAACACCGGUGGCGAAAGCGGCUUACUGGGUCUUCUCUGACGCUGAGGCACGAAAGCUAGGGUAGCGAACGGG
RNAcentral lists this ribosomal RNA (253 nucleotides) under uncultured bacterium. RNAcentral describes it as "partial 16S ribosomal RNA". It matches the Rfam family "Bacterial small subunit ribosomal RNA", at positions 524 to 776 of the family's 1533-position model. The record is from RNAcentral.